Molecule: long non-coding RNA, 641 nt
Filed under: Homo sapiens (human)
Lineage: Eukaryota; Metazoa; Chordata; Mammalia; Primates; Hominidae
Description: HSALNT0211687
Source: RNAcentral
UGACAUACUUCAUAUAACUAGGUAGAAAAUAAAAUAUGGCCCUACAGAUAACCAAAGUUCUCCCAUCCGUACCUCUUGCAAGAAAAGUUCUUGCAACUUUUUAUUCUUCGUUGGAUCCCACAACUAAAAUAUUCAUAAAAUAUUCAACAAUGAGUAAUGAAGAUGCUCCAGGUAAAUGUAAUGCAGCAAUGGACCAUACUUUGGGAAAGUCCUGGGAAGAAGAGGAAGAAAGACCCUAGAAAAAGUGAGAAGAGACUCUUUAUCUGCUUUGGUUUAUUCAUGUGUAAAAUGAGAAUAGAGGCCAGGCACAGUGGCUCCCUCGUGUAAUCCCAACACUUCAGGAGGCCAAGGCCGGCAGACUGCUUGAGCUCAGGAGUUCAAGACCAGCCUGGGCAAUGUUGCGAAACCCAUCUCUGUAAAAGUACAAAAACUAGCCAGGCAUGGUGGUAUGCACCUGUAGUCCCAGCUAUUUAGGAGACUGAGGUGGGAGAAUCACCUAACCCCAAAAGGGUUGAGGCUGCAGUGAGCUGUGAUCAUUGCCACUGUACUCCAGCCUGGGCAACAGAGUGAGACCCUGUGUCAAAAAAAAAAAAAUUAGAAUAGAGUUGUGACAAUUAUAUGAAAGGACAUUUGAAAAUCCU